UUGUCAUACGAAGCGCCAGAACUGAGCGGCUGUUUCUGAUGGUUUAAGUUUCUGCGAAUCCGGUCCUUCCAGUCUCGGGUACUGCCGGGAUCCGUACAUUUUUUUCUUGGACAGCGCGGAAAGCAAAAGCAUAUCAGGGGGCGGCUCAGUUGACGAGGUGAAGGUGUUCGAAGGAUUCGGCGGGGGCCUUCCGGUGAUGAUCCAUACCGUAAGUCGAAAUGCAAAACGUCCGGGCGACCGGGCGGACAAGAGUUCGACGGGAUCAAGA
This 268-nucleotide non-coding RNA is filed under the name Paenibacillus naphthalenovorans. Its description in RNAcentral is "GlcN6P sequence". It matches the Rfam family "glmS glucosamine-6-phosphate activated ribozyme aptamer". From Rfam's summary of the family: This entry contains a glucosamine-6-phosphate activated ribozyme that is found in the mRNA for GlmS. GlmS is an enzyme that uses fructose-6-phosphate and glutamine to generate glucosamine-6-phosphate. The record is from Rfam by way of RNAcentral. Lineage: Bacteria; Bacillati; Bacillota; Bacilli; Caryophanales; Paenibacillaceae.